GUUUGAUCCUGGCUCAGGAUGAACGCUGGCGGCGUGCUUAACACAUGCAAGUCGAACGAACCUUCGGGUUAGUGGCGGACGGGUGAGUAACGCGUGAGAAUCUGCCCUCAGGAGGGGGAUAACGGUUGGAAACGACCGCUAAUACCCCAUAUGCCGCGAGGUGAAAUGAAUUUCGCCUGAGGAUGAGCUCGCGUCUGAUUAGCUAGUUGGUGGGGUAAGAGCUUACCAAGGCAUCGAUCAGUAGCUGGUCUGAGAGGAUGAUCAGCCACACUGGGACUGAGACACGGCCCAGACUCCUACGGGAGGCAGCAGUGGGGAAUUUUCCGCAAUGGGCGAAAGCCUGACGGAGCAACGCCGCGUGAGGGAGGAAGGUUUUUGGAUUGUAAAA
This 388-nucleotide ribosomal RNA is filed under the name Synechococcus sp. SJ01. RNAcentral describes it as "bacterial SSU rRNA". It matches the Rfam family "Bacterial small subunit ribosomal RNA", at positions 11 to 430 of the family's 1533-position model. The record is from RNAcentral. Lineage: Bacteria; Bacillati; Cyanobacteriota; Cyanophyceae; Synechococcales; Synechococcaceae.